Salmo salar (Atlantic salmon) is the source of this 54-nucleotide non-coding RNA. The record is from Rfam. Lineage: Eukaryota; Metazoa; Chordata; Actinopteri; Salmoniformes; Salmonidae.
AAUGCACCAAUUUGUAAGUCGCUCUGGAUAAGAGCGUCUGAUAAAUGACUUAAA